CCUACGGGCGGCUGCAGUAGGGAAUCUUCCGCAAUGGACGAAAGUCUGACGGAGCAACGCCGCGUGAGCGAAGAAGGUCUUCGGAUCGUAAAGCUCUGUUGUUAGGGAAGAACAAGUACGGGAGGAAAUGACCGUACCUUGACGGUACCUGACGAGGAAGCCACGGCUAACUACGUGCCAGCAGCCGCGGUAAUACGUAGGUGGCAAGCGUUGUCCGGAAUUAUUGGGCGUAAAGCGCGCGCAGGCGGUCUUUUAAGUCUGGUGUGAAAUCUUGCGGCUCAACAGCAAGCGGUCAGUGGAAUGUGGGAGACUUGAGUGCAUAAGAGGACAGCGGAAUUCGACGUAUAUCGGUGAAAUGCGUAGAAAUGUGGAGGAACACCAUUGGCAAAGGCGGCUUUCUGGUCUGUAACUGACGCUGAGGGGCGAAAGCGUGGGGAGUAAACAGGAUUAGAUACCCUGCUAGUC
Molecule: ribosomal RNA, 465 nt
Filed under: uncultured bacterium
Lineage: Bacteria
Description: bacterial SSU rRNA
Rfam family: Bacterial small subunit ribosomal RNA
Source: RNAcentral